Molecule: ribosomal RNA, 117 nt
Filed under: Oscillospiraceae bacterium
Lineage: Bacteria; Bacillati; Bacillota; Clostridia; Eubacteriales; Oscillospiraceae
Source: RNAcentral
GUCAGUGCCGAUAGCGGCGAGGGUCCACCCGUUCCCAUUCCGAACACGGCAGUUAAGCUCGCUUGCGCCGAAGAUACUUGGCCGGAGACAGCCCGGGAAAAUAGGUAGACGCUGACA